Molecule: long non-coding RNA, 215 nt
Filed under: Elaeis guineensis (African oil palm)
Lineage: Eukaryota; Viridiplantae; Streptophyta; Magnoliopsida; Arecales; Arecaceae
Description: long non-coding RNA (EGUI_LNC073421)
Source: RNAcentral
GAUAUCCUAAAGAGUCAUUAGGAUACUAUUUCUAUAUUCUGAAAGAUCACAAUGUGAUUGUGAAUCGACAUGCUAUUUUUCUUGAAAAAUAGUUUAUUCAAGAUAGUGGCAUUGGAAGAAUAAUUAAGCUCAAGUAGAAUGUCUCCCAAGAGCAACGAGCUAAGGAACUUGAGGAACCCAAUCAAUUAAAACCAGUCCUAACACAACCUCUUCCA